GACGAACGCUGGCGGCGUGCUUAACACAUGCCAGUCGAACGGAAAGGCCCUGCUUUUGUGGUCUGCUCGAUUGGCGAACGGGUGCGUAACACGUGAGUAACCUGCCCUUGACUUUGGGAUAACUUCAGGUAACUGGGGCUAAUACCGGAUAGCAUCCCCUGCUCCAUGGUGGGGGUUGGAAAGUUUCGGCGGUUGGGGAUGGACUCGCGGCUUACCAGCUUGUUGGUGGGGUAGUGGCUUACCAAGGCUUUGACGGGUCGCGGGCCAGAGGGGGUGACCGGCCACAUUGGGACUGAGAGACGGCAGAGACGCCUAAGGGAGGCAGCAGUGGGGAAUAUUGCACAAGGGGCGGCAGCUUGAUGCAGCAACGCCGCGUGCGGGAUGGCGGCCUUCGGGUUGUAAACCGCUUUCGCCUGUGACGAAGGCUGAGUGACGGUAAUGGGUAGAGAAGCACCGGCUAACUACGUG
Molecule: ribosomal RNA, 468 nt
Filed under: uncultured bacterium
Lineage: Bacteria
Description: partial 16S ribosomal RNA
Rfam family: Bacterial small subunit ribosomal RNA
Source: RNAcentral